RNAcentral lists this transfer RNA (73 nucleotides) under Mustela putorius furo (domestic ferret). It matches the Rfam family "tRNA". From Rfam's summary of the family: Transfer RNA (tRNA) molecules are approximately 80 nucleotides in length. Their secondary structure includes four short double-helical elements and three loops (D, anti-codon, and T loops). Further hydrogen bonds mediate the characteristic L-shaped molecular structure. tRNAs have two regions of fundamental functional importance: the anti-codon, which is responsible for specific mRNA codon recognition, and the 3' end, to which the tRNAs corresponding amino acid is attached (by aminoacyl-tRNA synthetases). tRNAs cope with the degeneracy of the genetic code in two manners: having more than one tRNA (with a specific anti-codon) for a particular amino acid; and 'wobble' base-pairing, i.e. permitting non-standard base-pairing at the 3rd anti-codon position. Lineage: Eukaryota; Metazoa; Chordata; Mammalia; Carnivora; Mustelidae. The record is from Rfam by way of RNAcentral.
ACCUGCUUGGCUCAGUGGGUAGAGCAUGUGAGUCUUGAUCUCAGGGUAGUGGGUUCAAACCCCGCAUUGGGUG